GCCUUCGUGGUGUAGUGGUCAGCACGCUGGGCGCGUAUUCCAGAGGUCCGUGGUUCGAGUCCUGGCGAAAGGUA
This is a non-coding RNA of Stegodyphus mimosarum, 74 nucleotides long. The record is from Rfam. NCBI's taxonomy places the organism in Eukaryota, Metazoa, Arthropoda, Arachnida, Araneae, Eresidae.